UUUUCUUUGAAGUUUGAACAAAUGUAUGUUAACAUAUAAUUAUCAUUUAUAUAAAUACACUAAAAAGAUGAUUUACUAUCCAACAAGUACAUUCUGCCAUUAAACAUAAAUACAUUGUAAUGAAUGUAAGUAUGUGGUUUUUAUCUGUCACAAUUUUUACUUCAUACAUCUUUUUGAUAAGCUGGAGUUAGAAAAAAUGUAAUAAUACAAAAACUAUGCUGUAUUUGUCAAAACAAUCAAUAAAGCACACAUAUUUCUUCUUUAAGGUGGUACCCAACACCUUGACUAAAAUGAAUUUAGCUCAUUAAUUUUCAUAAUUUUUUGACAAAAUAUUUAUUUUGAUCCUUUGACAAAAAUAUAAAAAUUUCAUAAAAACUUGAACCAAUGAUUCUCUCGUAAAAAAAUCGUUGGAUAAGUAGCAGUUUGACAAACACUAAUUUUUAUCAAUGAGAAGCUUUGCUAGGCCAUUAUUUCACAGGGCGGUCCGUCCACCAGUUUCAAGGUGCUGCCCUGUGCCCUUUUACAAUUCCAAGUGUGCCCUGCCCUUUUAAAGAUUCAUUUCAUAUUAUUUUGUUGGUUUUGAUAUGAUCCGCCAAUUACGAAAUUUACCUGGCAACAAGUUUAUGACUUUGUUUAUGAUUGCAUACUAAUCAAGGGUUACAACAGGUGUCAUAAUUUGUUGUUACAGCUAAUCCGUUUAUGGGAUGGGUCAUUAAUGAUCAUCAACAUUAAUCAUUCAAAUGGAAUCGAUCAGUCAGCAUUUGUCUUUGAUGAAAUUGGUACGAAAAUAACAAAAUCAACUGCCAAAGUCUAUUGUUAAUUCAGAAAUUAUUGCGUGCAAUUAUCAUUGUGAUUUUGUUAUUUUACACUAAAAUGUAAUUUUAAUUUUUGUCAUAUUUUUCAAAAUGCAAGUUUAAAUUAUUAUUGCGAUUGUAAUCCUGUCAUAUAUUUCGCUUUAAUAAAAACAUUGCAAUAUUUCUGAAUUUACAGUACCAUAAAAAGAAGCAAUUUGAAUGCAGUUAUUUCAUAAUCUGUAUAAACCUGUCUUUUACAUUAAAUUUCUGUCCAUGUGGAGUUUUCUUCUAAUCCAUUCAAAAUAGGGUUUAUAUUUAUAUAUUUAAAUACAAAUUGAAAUUAUUGAAAUACCUUGUGAUACAUGUUUGUCCUGGUUAUGGAAAUGCUGUAGCAUAAAUCUGACCAUAAAUGGAUACUGUGGAAUCACUUAUUUUCGUGUGUACCAAUUUUCGUGGAAUUUCGUGUGUACCAAUUUUCAUGGAUUAAGGAAAACUUACUGUAUAUACAUGUUCUGUUCGAUGGAUAUUUAAUUUUGUGGUUUUGCCAAAGUUUGCAUACAAGCCUAUAGGACAUUUGUCAUUCGUUGAACAUUUAAUUUCGUAGUUCAACUUUACCCAAAAAAUCUACGAAAAUUGGUAUCCAACGAGUAAAAAUGAAUCCACUAUAUUUUUUUUAUUAAUGACACUCAUGUUAACAGAUGAAAGCAAUAUGACAAUAUUAAUUCUGCAUUUAUUGGUAAAUUAUGUAGGUUAUGAUUUUUGAGAGAGAGAGAUAAAUGAUAAAUAAAAUAUGUAUG
This 1591-nucleotide long non-coding RNA is filed under the name Mytilus galloprovincialis (Mediterranean mussel). Lineage: Eukaryota; Metazoa; Mollusca; Bivalvia; Mytilida; Mytilidae. The record is from RNAcentral.